CAGCUCCCCCUGAGGAGAACGAAGAGGAAGAGGAGGAGGAAGGCCUCGACCACACCCACCACCCCUCCCCCACGUGGCAGGAGUCCUGGCCACGCCCCCAGGAGCUGCUGGAGAGGCCCCGCCCACCCGAUGACCACGCCCCCCGCAGGAUACUCCCCCUGGGCCCGCAGCUAUUGGUGCUGGGGUUAUUGGGGGCGGGGCUUGCGGUGCUGGGGUGGUUCCGGGGUGGGGCUUAAGUGGGCGUGGUCCGGAAGUGGUUGCCGGAAGUGGGCGGGGCUUCUCAGCUCUCUUCUUUCUCUGUGUUUCUUCAUUGAAAUAAAGGUGGAAAAAGAAUGAAUGGGGGCGGGGUCAAAA
Phasianus colchicus (ring-necked pheasant) is the source of this 354-nucleotide non-coding RNA. The record is from RefSeq and is a predicted model, not a curated record. Lineage: Eukaryota; Metazoa; Chordata; Aves; Galliformes; Phasianidae.